GUGACUGUAGUUCAGUCGGUAGAGCGCCAGUUUGUGGAUCUGGUUGUCGCGAGUUCAAGUCUCGUCAGUCACCCCA
RNAcentral lists this transfer RNA (76 nucleotides) under Fusobacteriaceae bacterium. RNAcentral describes it as "tRNA-His". It matches the Rfam family "tRNA". Rfam says of the family: Transfer RNA (tRNA) molecules are approximately 80 nucleotides in length. Their secondary structure includes four short double-helical elements and three loops (D, anti-codon, and T loops). Further hydrogen bonds mediate the characteristic L-shaped molecular structure. tRNAs have two regions of fundamental functional importance: the anti-codon, which is responsible for specific mRNA codon recognition, and the 3' end, to which the tRNAs corresponding amino acid is attached (by aminoacyl-tRNA synthetases). tRNAs cope with the degeneracy of the genetic code in two manners: having more than one tRNA (with a specific anti-codon) for a particular amino acid; and 'wobble' base-pairing, i.e. permitting non-standard base-pairing at the 3rd anti-codon position. Lineage: Bacteria; Fusobacteriati; Fusobacteriota; Fusobacteriia; Fusobacteriales; Fusobacteriaceae. The record is from RNAcentral.